AUGAACGCUGGCGGCGUGCCUAAUACAUGCAAGUCGAGCGAACAGACGAGGAGCUUGCUCCUCUGACGUUAGCGGCGGACGGGUGAGUAACACGUGGAUAACCUACCUAUAAGACUGGGAUAACUUCGGGAAACCGGAGCUAAUACCGGAUAAUAUAUUGAACCGCAUGGUUCAAUAGUGAAAGACGGUUUUGCUGUCACUUAUAGAUGGAUCCGCGCCGCAUUAGCUAGUUGGUAAGGUAACGGCUUACCAAGGCGACGAUGCGUAGCCGACCUGAGAGGGGGAUCGGCCACACUGGAACUGAGACACGGUCCAGACUCCUACGGGAGGCAGCAGUAGGGAAUCUUCCGCAAAGGGCGAAAGCCUGACGGAGCAACGCCGCGUGAGUGAUGAAGGUCUUCGGAUCGUAAAACUCUGUUAUUAGGGAAGAACAAAUGUGUAAGUAACUAUGCACGUCUUGACGGUACCUAAUCAGAAAGCCACGGCUAACUACGUG
Molecule: ribosomal RNA, 496 nt
Filed under: uncultured bacterium
Lineage: Bacteria
Description: partial 16S ribosomal RNA
Rfam family: Bacterial small subunit ribosomal RNA
Source: RNAcentral